Molecule: long non-coding RNA, 364 nt
Organism: Tarenaya hassleriana
Lineage: Eukaryota; Viridiplantae; Streptophyta; Magnoliopsida; Brassicales; Cleomaceae
Exons: 2
Source: RefSeq, a predicted model, not a curated record
GAUCCGAAGAUUGGAUGAACUAUCAAGGUGCAGUGGAAGCCCGGAAACAGAUGAAGGUUCCUUGCGAAAUCAUCCGAGUUCCAAAGGGAGGGCAUUUCGUGUUCAUAGAUAAUCCGACAGGCUUCCAUUCGGCAGUACUCUAUGCUUGUCGCACGUUCGUGUCUUCUUCGGACGCCGAUCCCCAACACGCCCCUCUCCCCGAGGGUCUUCAGUCUGUUUAGUAUGAUUUAUGUGUAUAUAUAUAUAUAGUUAUAUCCUCACAUGAGGAAAAAAUAAAAUAGUCAAAAUGAAGAUUCGUUUCAUCUGUUACGCAAGCUCAUUACUUGUUCAUCCAUUUCUUCUGUUUUAUGGAUUUUUAUUUUCU